Molecule: long non-coding RNA, 1120 nt
Organism: Mustela lutreola (European mink)
Lineage: Eukaryota; Metazoa; Chordata; Mammalia; Carnivora; Mustelidae
Exons: 2
Source: RefSeq, a predicted model, not a curated record
CAGCUCUGCGGGUAAAUUCGAAGGUACCGCGUCAGGAGCGGCGGGUCCAGAGGAUUCACCACGGGGGUGAAGGAGUCUUGAUUUCCCUGAAAGGCCUGCAAGAAGGAGGACGGCAGUUAUUGGUUGUCUGACGGGAACAGGAACCCUUUCCACCCACCUCUUGUGUCCUCCUCGUAAGACUGCAUCAGCGUCCAUGCAUUCAAGCAUCAAGGUGUUCUGCAGGUACCUGGCAGUUUCUCUGCUCCAGCUUUGGAAUCAGUAAGCUUUCUAAGCACCCCAGCUUCCUCUGACUGGGAAAUGGGACCUAGAGACAAAGCACUGACCCAGGCCGAGGCUCCUGUGCAGUGUGUCAUCUCACGUUGGACACUGUUAUCUCAUGGCAGAGGCACAAGAGACUGAGUCGGACACACGCGUCAAGUUUCUGUUUGGACUUACAUUCCAUUGGUCAAAAUGAGGACUGUUGCCAAGCCCAAAGUCAAUGGAGUUUUCAAGAAAGUGGGCAGUGAACAAUCAAGAACAAUAAUACCUUUUAUCUCAUCUGCUGUUUUCUGUUCGUUUAGAAAUUCUAAUUUCUUGUUCCAGCAGUAACAGGUGGUCUUCUGUAGGGUGGAGCAGUAGGUUUGUUAGUCCAAGAGCAUCCUCUACUGUUGGUAAAGUGAAGUGCAAUAUCUUUAGCAGGUGGGUCGGAAAAGGGACCGGCUUUGCUUUUGCUUUCAUAGGUCACUUGAUCUCCACCAGUUGAUCAUCCCCAGGCCUCCGGCAGGCAUAUCCCCCUUCACCAGGAAUGGUGUCACCUCUAGUCCCACAUCUCUCAAUACUUUUCCUUUCAGUUCCAGAAGCCAAUGCUCUGACCCAUAGGUCUUGAAUGUUAACAUUUCCUCACUCUCUGUGGGAAUUCUUCUCACCAGAGUGAUUUUAUCUGUUUCCUACCACUCAGCAUUUCUGUUUUUUGAACAGUCUCUCCUAGAUGAUCCAGAGUGCACUCGGGAGCUAGCUCAGCUGGCUUUGCUGGUUUAUUCACUACUUCCUUCUAAACAGAAACGCACAGGAUUCUUUGUAUUCUCUCUAUUCUGUAGACGAGUUAUGGGUGGUUUUAUGCAAUUAAAAAUACAUAUUCAUA